This 639-nucleotide ribosomal RNA is filed under the name uncultured Actinomycetes bacterium. RNAcentral describes it as "bacterial SSU rRNA". It matches the Rfam family "Bacterial small subunit ribosomal RNA", at positions 122 to 774 of the family's 1533-position model. Lineage: Bacteria; Bacillati; Actinomycetota; Actinomycetes. The record is from RNAcentral.
UGACCUGCCCUCCACUCUGGGAUAAGCCUGGGAAACUGGGUCUAAUACCGGAUAGGACCAUUGAUCGCAUGGUUGGUGGUGGAAAGUUUUUUCGGUGGGGGAUGGGCCCGCGGCCUAUCAGCUUGUUGGUGGGGUGAUGGCCUACCAAGGCGGUGACGGGUAGCCGGCCUGAGAGGGCGACCGGCCACACUGGGACUGAGACACGGCCCAGACUCCUACGGGAGGCAGCAGUGGGGAAUAUUGCGCAAUGGGCGGAAGCCUGACGCAGCGACGCCGCGUGGGGGAUGACGGCCUUCGGGUUGUAAACCUCUUUCGCCAGGGACGAAGAGCAAUUGACGGUACCUGGAGAAGAAGCACCGGCCAACUACGUGCCAGCAGCCGCGGUAACACGUAGGGUGCGAGCGUUGUCCGGAAUUAUUGGGCGUAAAGAGCUCGUAGGCGGUGUGUCGCGUCGGCCGUGAAAACUUGGGGCUUAACUCUGAGCGUGCGGUCGAUACGGGCAUCACUUGAGUUCGGCAGGGGAGACUGGAAUUCCUGGUGUAGCGGUGAAAUGCGCAGAUAUCAGGAGGAACACCGGUGGCGAAGGCGGGUCUCUGGGCCGAUACUGACGCUGAGGAGCGAAAGCGUGGGGAGCGAACA